This 367-nucleotide ribosomal RNA is filed under the name uncultured organism. RNAcentral describes it as "bacterial SSU rRNA". It matches the Rfam family "Bacterial small subunit ribosomal RNA", at positions 527 to 896 of the family's 1533-position model. The record is from RNAcentral.
GUAGGUGGCAAGCGUUGUCCGGAUUUAUUGGGUUUAAAGGGUGCGUAGGCGGUCUUGUAAGUCAGUGGUGAAAUACGGCAGCUUAACCGUCGAGGUGCCAUUGAUACUGCAGGACUUGAGUACAGACGAGGUAGGCGGAAUUGACGGUGUAGCGGUGAAAUGCUUAGAUAUCGUCAAGAACACCGAUAGCGAAGGCAGCUUACUAGACUGUAACUGACGCUGAUGCACGAAAGUGUGGGGAUCAAACAGGAUUAGAUACCCUGGUAGUCCACACUGUAAACGAUGAUUACUCGAUGUUGGCGAUACACAGCCAGCGUCUUAGCGAAAGCGAUAAGUAAUCCACCUGGGGAGUACGCCGGCAACGGUG